GACCUUGAUGUGGCAUAUCUCUUUAGCCAGAGAAUUGUGAUUUGGGCGCCAUUUUCCUUUCUCUCCUUUCUUAUUCACUUUCACGAGCGCCAUUUUCUUUCACAACCGUUUCCCUUUUUUUUCUCCAAUCUAGACCUAAUCAGAUCAAUCAUUCCAAUAUCUUUCAUCCAAUUUUUUUUCUCUCUCCCAUUUCAAAAGAACCCUAAUUUCCCCUCAUUAUCUAUCGCGAUGAAGACGAGUGAUGGUGGUCUUACAACAGAUCUAGGGUUUAAGUGUUUAACGGUGAUUCCAGGCAACAACUAUGACUAGGGUUAUGGUGCACGACAUGAAGGGUGGCUCAUCAUGGCGGUGGUGGUGCCCGACAAUGGUUGCAUCGCAUAUGGUGGAAAGAAGCAAACCGAUUGAAAAGGUUUCUGGCGAAGGUUCAGGCGCCCUUAGCAGUUAUUGCAGAAUUUGAAAGUAAUUUCAGAUACGUCUGUUCUUGGUUCUGUUCUUCAAGAUCACCGGUCGUCCACAUGGAUUCAGUUUCGUUCUGUGUUUCAUGAUUUGUUCGUUUUUUGGAUCUGAAUAAUUAGUGAUGUUUUGUUGUGUAGUUGAUUUUUGGGGUCAAUGAUUGAUCUGAUUAUGUGUGAUUGUUGAGUGAUUAAGUGGUUAGUGCUGUAGGAUAGUGAAAUAACAGUUAUUUGGUUAGGUAAAAUGUGUCACUUUUGUAAUUUUGGCUAAAAUUAUAUUUGGAUGAAGUUUAUUUGGUUUUUUAGGGUUUUGAUCUAUAAGGUGAUGUUGAACUAUACUUUUGGGGUGAUAUUCAUAGUUUGUAUUUAAGUUGUUCUCGACCGAAGCUACGGUGAUUAGUGAAAGAGAAAACAUGAAGCUAUAUGUCAGUGCCUGAGAUAUGCAGAUAGUUUUCAAGGCGCAAAAGGUAUGACAGCUUUACUUUAGUGGAUUACAGGCUCCAAAUGAAGAAUACGAAGAAUAUCUUAGCCACCUCUUUGGUGAUAAGUGCACUGGCAACCGCAACGAGAUGGCCCAGCUGCCUGAAGGCAUUACAGAACUGCUAGAACAUGAGAAGCUUCCUGUUCCACUGAUCAAGUGUCAUAAUGUGAUUGUGCUCACUACAACAAAUGUUGAUGAGUUAGACCGACAAUGGGAUCCUUUGAUUGAUUUAAGGUCUACUAAUUUGCUAGCACCAACAGGACCGUUUGUAUCGAAGCAUUUAGAAACGUCACUCUUAGAUUUAGAAGUUGAUCAGCCUCUAUCCAAGAUUGCUAUUGAAUUUCCUGAUAUCUACACUGGUACAAACUACAUAUACGAUUUUAUCAAGGGUGUUAUCGGAAAACCAGAGCUGGGCCUCUCAUCAUAACCCUUGAAGGGAAGGAUCAAGAAACAGUAGAAGCAGCCAUGGAAGCACUUUCCAAGAAGUUACCAUCUGGCGUCAAACAAAUAUCGGUUUGAGGGUUCAUUUCUCAUCAUAAUCUGCUUCGUGACUGCACUUUAAUUCAUGUGUUGAGAUGAUGAAAUGAUUUAGGAAGAAAUUUUCGCUACGUUGAGUGAGAUGAUAAGGAAUUAGAAAUUCCGUGAAAAUGGAAUAAAAAAGGGUUUAGGGACCGAAUGACUUUUGUUAUCAGGAUGUAUAUAUAGACACCAAAUCUAUUGGCAGCAUUGAAGGGCAACUUUAUAGAACGGGUCAAAAGAUUCUCAUAAGUUUUAUACUGAAAAAGACGUCCACACUUUUGACAUAUUUCCACCAUUUUAGUCUUAUACUGAAAAAAAUGGUUUUUGUUUUUCCAAGUAAAUCGUUAAAUCUACAGGCUUUUUGUCAAAAUUUUUUCUGAUAUUUUUAACUAUUUUUGCUGCAUAAAGCGAAUGAAGGAGGAUCGAAACCGAGAGCACCGAAAUCUUCAUCGAAGUCGGCGUCUUCGAAUCCGGAGGAGCUUAAAAUUGAGAUAGCAGAGGUUUUAUAUGGUUUCACGACUCAGUCACAAGCUCCGUCAAAGAAAAAAAAUCCCGUCCAGCGAUUCAUUGAUCAAAUUCGAUUCGAAUAAGUCAAGUAGUGACACCAAAUCUAUAGUUUCAUCCCCCAUCUCAAACUCAACAGCUUUACCGCAAAAUUUGACGUCUUUGUCAAUUGUUGCACCAAAGAGGAACAUACCACGGCAAGUAUCAGAGAAUCCGGUUUCUUCUCCCAUAAAAACCGAGAUUGAUCAGCCUCAGCAUUAUCAGUUAGAUAUAUCUUCUCCUUAUUUGGAAAACAACAGUCCAGCGUCGCUGCCGAUUCGACGAAAUCUACAAUAGGCAAUGACAGUGCUUUUCGUGCUGGUGUAGAUAUAGUCUCCGAGCGCAAUAUGAUUAAAAAAGGCCAACGCCAAACAUGUGUAACGUAUUGCUUGAUGCAUAUGCAAUAUUUGAAAUGGUGGAGUGGGUGAAUAUCGUAUUCAAGAGCAUGUGUAGGGACCAGUGAAUUUCAUUACACUCAUGAGUCAUGAGCUCUCUUUAUAUUUCAAAAAAGAUCCUUGAAAACUUUAUUUAAGCAAGACUGGAGGUCGAGGAAGAAGGUGCAGAUACUACAAUACAAUACGUUACAUUGAAGUGGACACUAGCACCUCUUAUAGGUGUAUCUAAAGAAUGGUCGUAGUUGAGGUUAGAGAGCAAUAACUAUUGCACAUGUGGAGGUGGAGAGUGUUGAAAAUGGAGUUGGAAUGGUCAAGGGUAUGGGUCGACACAAUACAAUGGCAAGUAUCAAAAAUCUUUAAGACAGUGAUGGUAAUACAAGUUGUAAAAAUGGUCAGAAAAGGAUAUAUUAUUAUCACGAAGUUCAUGAAUAAAUUCUAUCUUAAUUGUAGUGUGAUGAUUAGGUUGCUCAUGAUGUAGAUAUUUGUGAGUAGAUUGGAAAACAUAUUAUAUAUAUGAAUUUAUCAGGCUGUUAAUAUUGAAACAGAAAUAUUGGGGGUUCCUGCAAGCGGGUAUAGUUCAUACAUGGACUAUUGCUCAAGGCUUUGUCACCUAUCAAUUCUGUGCCAAUCUGGUAUCUUUUGGCGUUUUAGGCAUCCAUACUUUCGGUUCAUUACCGGUUCAGUACGGUAUGUUACUUUACUCACUUUUUAUCUUCGAAUAUCGUACCAUGCAAUUUUGGUAUCGGUGCAGUACCAAGCUCAUCUCUACUGCUACUACAUCUUCACCGAAACCUAUACCUUUUUGCGGGUAUUAUUUCUUGGUUUUUUUUAAUAUUGUUGAUUAAUGGUACUUCGGCACAAAGAAAUCAAUGAUAACGGGUGCAUAUUUGGUGAUUAGUUGUAUUUUGGCGCAUAUAAAUUUUAAAUUUCAGAUUGAAAUCAAUGAUAACUAGCUGCAUAUUGGUGAAGUCGGUCCACACCAUUGGGUGGAACCUGGGAGAAGAUUGCGAGGUAUGAUUUUAAUUACUUUGAUGAUUUAUGGCGUUGAUUUUUAUUAUCAAAAUGGAACUAAAUGAUACAUCAUGCUCAAGUGUAACAUGAACUGGAAUUCCAAAUGUUGGGGUUUGAGAAGAUGACUAGAAUAGUUUACUGGAAUGGUGGUAAAUGCAAUAUUUUGUUUUUGCAAGCUUUUUUGUGGAUUAAUGUUGUUUUGCAGGAAGAUUACAUGUUUGUUUUGCAAAACAUGAUGUAAUAUACUUUUAAGUAGAUUAUUCUUAAUUAUUUGAGGUGUAAUUGAGAAUGUUAUAGUUUAAACAUUAUUGUUUUA
Molecule: RNA transcript, 3717 nt
Organism: Helianthus annuus (common sunflower)
Lineage: Eukaryota; Viridiplantae; Streptophyta; Magnoliopsida; Asterales; Asteraceae
Exons: 13
Source: RefSeq, a predicted model, not a curated record